Molecule: long non-coding RNA, 1199 nt
Filed under: Anas platyrhynchos platyrhynchos (common mallard)
Lineage: Eukaryota; Metazoa; Chordata; Aves; Anseriformes; Anatidae
Description: lncRNA (ENSAPLG00000016676.1)
Source: RNAcentral
GUUUAGUCUAGGGGCACUGCAGAAAUUGGCCUUACAUCUUUGCUUUCAAGCUGCAUUUGAGCCCUGUUGUGUAAUUGCCAUUUGCAUGCCAGAGGGAUUGCGUAGGGGUGCUACCCAGAUCAAAGUUGCAUUCAUCUGGGCUUGGGUGUAUUAGCUGUAAUUAGUAAUGUAAUUUUAGGAGACAAUGCCACAUUUGUAAGGUGAACAGAAACUACAGCAGCACUUCAGCAGAAAAGCAGUGGUGGUGCCGCCUGUUCCUCUCCCAGUAGCAGAAACUAAUUGCAGUGGGAGGUAUUCAUCUUAUACACAUGCACACAAAAAUAAUAAAAUCUGACACAUUUCCAAACUAGCAUGAAAUACGAACUGAAAUGCAGGUACUUUAGGUUUGUGGCUCUUACCGGUGGAAAGAAAGUGCUGCAAGGAGUGGGUAUUUGCUUUGUGCUGAGCAGGGAAAUGGGAGCAACACUCAUAUCCAGGCUGAAUAAAUCCUUCGACGGCAUUCUUUGCGCGUGGCUGUUUGAUGUGCUUCCAGCAGCUUCAAACACAGGAGGCAUCCAAACUGUAAAGAGCCAAAACUCCACCGUGGCAGGAGCCUUGAACAGCAGCGGGGCAGGCUGGCAGUGCCUUGCAGGACCAAAGAUGCUCACCCAGCAGGCAAGGAGACAGCUGAAUCCCUCUGCUCUCCCGUGACGUGGCAGUGCUGGGAGUGCCUUUCUUAGCGUGGACUUUAUUAAGCUGCUCCAAACCAACAAGCCAAGCUCCCCACCAGCAUUCGACCACUGCGCCAAGAGGAAAAUAAUGAGGUUAAAAGCACUGCACAGCAGAAACAUAUGGGACUACAAAGAGGUUGGGAUUGCCAGAGAGUCCAGCACGGUCAUAUCAGGGUGCUAGGGAUGGUGCUACUGCAGUGUUUGUUGAGGCUGGUGGAGGCGAUAUGUGGCUGGUGGCCGUGAGCACCUUCCUUGGACAGAAAGCGAUACAUCUGAUCAGCUUUGGCCACUUCUGAGUGCCACAGGAGCCUGGGGAGCCCAGCUUUCUCCUUUGCUUUGUCCUCUGACUUCAGAGCGUGGCUUUCCUUUUUAGUUCCCUUCUGUGUUUAUAACGGGCCAAACUUCCCACAUACUGGGUGAGGAUGCUUCUGACUGGAGCGAUUUAGGAGUUUGAAUAAAGCAGCUCUUGUUAAAAAUGCUGAUUUGUCA